UAAGUGACCUAUAAUAACAGUAUUGUUAAGGAAUUAGAAAACAUUUAACUAUCUAAUAACCUUCUACCAUACUAUAGUGCUCGACCUUUAUACCUUAUUCUUUAGAAUCAUGGCCUUACUGUAAUUUGUAGGUGAUCCAUAUCUUAUCUAAUCAUAUCUCCCAAAACUUUUUCGGCAUACAUCUACCUCUCUUUAUACUCAUUAUAGGCUAUAGCAAACCUCUCCGACCUCAUCUUUCGUAUAUAUGCCUGAAUUUCAGUCUUGUUUUUCUCAUCUUGCUUAUCACUUCUACCUUGUCCUAAGUAGUUUAAUUUCUGAUCGUAUGUCGAUCUAUGUCCACAUACGCGUUCAUUUCAAUCUCUCAUCUUUAAUUUGAAACAUGCAAAUUUCUCGACUGACCAAUACUCUUAGCUUAUUCACCAUAACUGGUCUGAUCAUUAUUCUAUUAAACACUUGUUAAGGCUUGGCAAAUCAUUCUUGCUUCCAUUUCAUCUAGGUAAGAUCACUCUCAUAAGCUUUUACAAGUAUUUGAUGGCUACUAGAUUUUGCACAGUAUGAUUUACAAUCAUUGUAAAAUUAAAUUGCUCUAAAUUCCAAUUUAGAAUAUGUUGGCAUUGUCGGACCAAUAAUUGCUUAAAUUAAGCACUUGAAACUAUUGAUUACAGAAAAGUAGUAGUAACAUUUUCAUAUCCAUUGCCUUGAUACUUAGCUUGAUGUGCAAUGAAAUAGUAGAUCUUAGCCAAACUACAAUUGAUUCAAUACAAAUACAUAAAUUUCACUAAAUAACAAUAAAUACUUAUUCAAACCGAAUGCUAUUUACUUCAAUUAUUAUUAUUAUACUCCGAUUAUUCAAAGCAACUCUGCGAUCGUACCAAAGCUCGUCUACUCACCGUAUUUGAUGUAGGCGAAUCCAAGGUCUUGAGCAGCAACUGCUUCACUGCUGAUAUCAAUUCACCUGUCGGAUUGGGAGGCAAACUCUUUGCUCUGAAUUUCUUGCAAAAUGUCAUGUGUCGAUUCAAAGCUUCAUCUCUUCCAAUCCUUCUGGAUCUCACCAUUUCAUCCUUCACAGCCUCUGCACACAGUCCGCAUAUCCAUCGCCCUUCAUUCCGGUCCCGAACUCUCGCUAUGUAAGACUCUGUACAUUCCUCUGUCAAUCCACAACACGCGCACUUUACAAAUUGGAUCUCACUUUCCAUUCCACUCACCUCUUUCAAAUGCUACAAUUAAUUGAAUAGAUAUAAAUCAAUCUUCGAAAAGAAAUAUUAUCCCACUCGCCUUCUUCUUCAACAAUUUCUCCACCGCUGAUAAAUACCUUGAAUAUCAUAUACAUUUCACACCCUCCCUUGAUUGGCUUUUUUCUAAAUCACCUAAGACCAAACUGCAUACUUCAUCUCAUUGAUUUUG
Molecule: long non-coding RNA, 1404 nt
Filed under: Solanum lycopersicum (tomato)
Lineage: Eukaryota; Viridiplantae; Streptophyta; Magnoliopsida; Solanales; Solanaceae
Description: long non-coding RNA (SLYC_LNC000536)
Source: RNAcentral